This 506-nucleotide ribosomal RNA is filed under the name uncultured bacterium. RNAcentral describes it as "partial 16S ribosomal RNA". It matches the Rfam family "Bacterial small subunit ribosomal RNA", at positions 29 to 523 of the family's 1533-position model. The record is from RNAcentral.
AGUGAACGCUGGCGGUAGGCCUAACACAUGCAAGUCGAACGGCAGCACAGAGGAGCUUGCUCCUUGGGUGGCGAGUGGCGGACGGGUGAGGAAUACAUCGGAAUCUACUCUGUCGUGGGGGAUAACGUAGGGAAACUUACGCUAAUACCGCAUACGACCUACGGGUGAAAGCAGGGGACCUUCGGGCCUUGCCCGAUUGAAUGAGCCGAUGUCGGAUUAGCUGGUUGGCGGGGUAAAGGCCCACCAAGGCGACGAUCCGUAGCUGGUCUGAGAGGAUGAUCAGCCACACUGGAACUGAGACACGGUCCAGACUCCUACGGGAGGCAGCAGUGGGGAAUAUUGGACAAUGGGCGCAAGCCUGAUCCAGCCAUACCGCGUGGGUGAAGAAGGCCUUCGGGUUGUAAAGCCCUUUUGUUGGGAAAGAAAUCCAGCUGGCUAAUACCCGGUUGGGAUGACGGUACCCAAAGAAUAAGCACCGGCUAACUUCGUGCCAGCAGCCGCGGUAA